Molecule: unclassified non-coding RNA, 205 nt
Filed under: plant metagenome
Description: partial contains 5.8S ribosomal RNA, internal transcribed spacer 2, and large subunit ribosomal RNA
Source: RNAcentral
ACCGAAGCCAAUCCACAUGACUGGAUUGCGAAAGAACGCAGGUGCCCGACCGGCACUCGCCUGCCCUGGAUGAUCGAGAUCUUCGGUCAUUUCCAUGGGCAAGCGCAGCAAUGGGAAAGCGAGAGCUUCGCGCUCGGCCCAUUGCGCGCGUAGCAUCACACCCAGGCAACCCAGCAUAAAGUAGGUAACCAGGAUCAUCGAGCAC